Molecule: ribosomal RNA, 484 nt
Filed under: uncultured bacterium
Lineage: Bacteria
Description: partial 16S ribosomal RNA
Rfam family: Bacterial small subunit ribosomal RNA
Source: RNAcentral
AUUGAACGCUGGCGGCAGGCCUAACACAUGCAAGUCGAGCGGAUGAAGGGAGCUUGCUCCUGGAUUCAGCGGCGGACGGGUGAGUAAUGCCUAGGAAUCUGCCUGGUAGUGGGGGAUAACGUCCGGAAACGGGCGCUAAUACCGCAUACGUCCUGAGGGAGAAAGUGGGGGAUCUUCGGACCUCACGCUAUCAGAUGAGCCUAGGUCGGAUUAGCUAGUUGGUGGGGUAAAGGCCUACCAAGGCGACGAUUCGUAACUGGUCUGAGAGGAUGAUCAGUCACACUGGAACUGAGACACGGUCCAGACUCCUACGGGAGGCAGCAGUGGGGAAUCUUGGACAAUGGGCGAAAGCCUGAUCCAGCCAUGCCGCGUGUGUGAAGAAGGUCUUCGGAUUGUAAAGCACUUUAAGUUGGGAGGAAGGGCAGUAAGUUAAUACCUUGCUGUUUUGACGUUACCAACAGAAUAAGCACCGGCUAACUUCGUG